GCACGGCAAGCAGCGUGUGCCAAAACGUUCACACCGUUCAAACAGUCAGUUCGCAACAACGUUGUUUAAUAAAGGAGAGUAAUACUGUAUGUAAAGGGCAAGAAGAAAAACACGUUAUUUUUGUAAAUGUAACUAUUUUUUACAAGUGUUUUUAUUAGCUGUCGUGCUUCUUGUGUUUAAAACCCAAACCGAUGAGGCUGGAUCUAAAAAGCGAGAGCCUGCAGUCUUACGACGCGAGCACGUAUAGAACAAUGCUUGCAACAGGGGGAUCUGGUUCAUACUGGUUUGUGAACAGGUCAAACCGCAGCAUUCGAGAACAGAAACGGUGGAGAUUUAGGCCGUCGCGUUCGGUGCAAGCAAAGCAGACACGUGCACAGUGUGGAGGGGUGACAGUCAAAGAAGUGCAAAAGAAAUGCAUACGGGCCCGACUGCAGCACAAAGAAGGAACAUCAAGGCCGAAAACAGAAGCAGAAUCAAAAAUGUGAAAUACCUGGAGGACACAAAAAAAAAAAAAAAAGCCACGCUACGAAUCGAUGCGCUGACAUCUCAGGCAGCUCGAAGAAGAAGAAGAAGAAGAAGAAGAGAGCAGAGGAGCUGCAAACAGAACUCGACUCUGUCUUUCUCUUUCUGCUCACCAACGGCGAGCUUGUAAAAGUUUCAGCUGCAAGGAUUUGGGUCAGCCUCUAUUGGCCUGGUUUCAAAAGAGCACUGCCUGUUUCAGAAAGAAGGGAGAAAAGGGGACAAGUCUGCGAGGGGAGCGCUGGCUCUUUGUGCUCCCUCUCCUGUCACCCUCUUUCCCUCUCUCUCUCUCUCGCUCUCUCUCUCUUUCUCUCUCGCUCUUGGACUCUGGGCUGUGACCGCUCCCAGGACUUUUACUCUCUGCUCUAAGGGUAAUGCCACCUCGUGCCAGCUCAGCCGUUGAGGCAUCUGUUGGUCUGUAUAGGGAUCCACCACGACGGUCCGGAUCGCUCUGGGGAGGCUGGCCUCUAUCGCAGACACCCACAGAAUAGGAAAUGCAAGCUACAGCACUAUUUCCUAGAUACUUUGUCCUCCAUUUCAGAUGUGUGUCAAGCUCUCACGAGGCUCAGCGCCGCUUUGUGUUAAAGUUCACACAAGGUUCUGGCUGCUUUGUGGCUCGGGGAAUCUCAUCCGACCUUCCACGUUGCUUCCUUCUAACACACUUUGGAGCGAUCCAAAUGCGCUUUUCUCCCUCUCUUUCUCCAUGUUUUUUCCUUGCAACAUUUACCGAAAAAAGAAUAAUAACCCCUCAACGAUAUAGAACGUGCACAAAAGUAGGGUUUGUUUUAACCCUCCCUGGUGUUAUUCUCAUGUUACAAGGGUAAGCUCUCCCUCCUAUUUGACUGUAAGGCCUCUCUGUGCAGGUGUCACACGGAGGACACAGUGCCAGCAGCAGGCAGGAAGGAGGUCUGUGUGAAAUAAUACCUGUCAACACAUAUGUUUUUAUCCCCCCAGUGUGCCCAGAAGUUAAAUAAUGACCGGAGUGAUGACAGUACAAACAGAAAUCCUGCUACAGCAAGCAUAAUUUAAACUUUCUGAAAUGAGAGAGAGAGAGAGAGAGAGACAGUCUUUCCUCUCUGCUUCCUGUUGAAACCUUGAAAAAGGUUCGAGACUACUGUUGUCUGUACUUCAGAAACACACUGACCCUUCCCACAGACAUCUACACAAUCAGAAGGGUGUAAAGAUCACAUGACCUAUUGUAAGAUGAACACAAUUAUAAGAAACAACUGUUCAUUCUCAGAGGUCAUCAAAAUACAGCUCUCAGUAAACAUACUGUACAAGGUUACAAGUAACAUGCUAUGUGAAAACAUUACCUUCCAGCUGUUUGAUACGUUAUAUAUUAUAUGUACUUAGUCCAUGAAGGCCCAUAUAUCACAAAAGUCUGUGCAUUGACUCACAUGUCUGUGUGCAUCUGCAUCCAUGUUAGUGUACUUUUGAGGAUUGAGUUGCCUUUAAUAGUCUCUGUGGAUAAGCCUGCAAUGACUCCGGUUACCACUGGGACCAUCCAGCUGAGAGCCGGGUUGGACUGUCAGGGGUCUGCGGAGAUGUUGGCCCCGCCUGACCCGUCUUGCCACGUGGACGGACCCCCAUCUGGUUUACCGCGGUUUGUGAGUGUGACUUUUUUUUUAGCUGCGUCAUUCGUCAUUCAUAUCUAUUCAACCGACGUGUUUAUGAUCAAAUUGUGAACACAAAAUCGUUUUCCAAGAGCACAACGUUCGCCGAAGAUUUAGCCUUUCAAUUGCACCAGAUUGGAAAACUUUAAAAACCUACAAAAAAAAUUUAAAAAAAUAAAAACAUUGUCAGUUUGUUUCCAAUAUCGUGCAUCGUUGAGUAGUUCACUGGUCCUCCAAGGUUUCUCUCUUAUGGGUUAAUAAGGGCAAGUGAUGCACUGUGUACAGCCAUCAUACGAACAUAUUCCUGCUGACUCCACUCCCCAAAACCGGACUGGUACACUCCAAGAUGUCGUCCUUUUAUGCAGUUCUUUGGUUCCCCUAUUUUAGUUUGUCUG
Cyclopterus lumpus (lumpfish) is the source of this 2527-nucleotide long non-coding RNA. RefSeq lists it as uncharacterized. The transcript has 3 exons. Lineage: Eukaryota; Metazoa; Chordata; Actinopteri; Perciformes; Cyclopteridae. The record is from RefSeq and is a predicted model, not a curated record.